GGAGAGGGAGCCUGAGAAAUGGCUACCACUUCUAAGGAAGGCAGCAGGCGCGUAAAUUACCCAAUCCUGAUUCAGGGAGGUAGUGACAAGAAAUAACAACUCGGGUCCCUCACGGGACUGCGAGAUUGCAAUGAGAACAAUUUAAACCACUUAUCAAGGAACAAUUGGAGGGCAAGUCUGGUGCCAGCAGCCGCGGUAAUUCCAGCUCCAAUAGCGUAUAUUAAAGUUGUUGCAGUUAAAAAGCUCGUAGUUGAAUUUCUGGCCAGUCCUGCACUGUGCAGUUUGCCGGUGUAGGGCUUGGUCAUCCGUAGGGGAAUCCAGUUCGGCCUUCACUGGUCGGCUGGUGGAACCUACAAUUUACUGUGAAAAAAUUAGAGUGUUUCAGGCAGGCAAUCGCUUGGAUACUCCAGCAUGGAAUAAUGGAAUAGGACUUUGGUCUAUUUGUUGGUUUGAGAUCAAAGUAAUGAUUAAUAGGGACAGUUGGGGGCAUUCGUAUUUAAUGUCAGAGGUGAA
This 513-nucleotide ribosomal RNA is filed under the name Cyrtolophosis mucicola. Its description in RNAcentral is "SSU rRNA". It matches the Rfam family "Eukaryotic small subunit ribosomal RNA", at positions 385 to 915 of the family's 1831-position model. Lineage: Eukaryota; Ciliophora; Colpodea; Cyrtolophosidida; Cyrtolophosididae. The record is from RNAcentral.